Molecule: ribosomal RNA, 451 nt
Filed under: uncultured Rhodocyclaceae bacterium
Lineage: Bacteria; Pseudomonadati; Pseudomonadota; Betaproteobacteria; Rhodocyclales; Rhodocyclaceae
Description: bacterial SSU rRNA
Rfam family: Bacterial small subunit ribosomal RNA
Source: RNAcentral
AAGCGGUGGAUGAUGUGAUUAAUCGAUGCAACGCGAAAACCUUACCUACCUUGACAUGUCCGGAAUCCGAAGAGAUUUGGGAGUGCUCGCAAGAGAACCGGAACACAGGUGCUGCAUGGCUGUCGUCAGCUCGUGUCGUGAGAUGUUGGGUUAAGUCCCGCAACGAGUGCAACCCUUGUCAUUAGUUGCCAUCAUUUGGUUGGGCACUCUAAUGAGACUGCCGGUGACAAACCGGAGGAAGGUGGGGAUGACGUCAAGUCCUCAUGGCCCUUAUGGGUAGGGCUUCACACGUCAUACAAUGGUCGGUACAGAGGGUUGCCAACCCGCGAGGGGGAGCUAAUCCCACAAAGCCGAUCGUAGUCCGGAUCGCAGUCUGCAACUCGACUGCGUGAAGUCGGAAUCGCUAGUAAUCGUGGAUCAGCAUGUCACGGUGAAUACGUUCCCGGGUCUU